Molecule: ribosomal RNA, 253 nt
Filed under: uncultured bacterium
Lineage: Bacteria
Description: partial 16S ribosomal RNA
Rfam family: Bacterial small subunit ribosomal RNA
Source: RNAcentral
UACGAAGGGGGCUAGCGUUGCUCGGAAUCACUGGGCGUAAAGCGCACGUAGGCGGCUUCUUAAGUCAGGGGUGAAAUCCUGGAGCUCAACUCCAGAACUGCCUUUGAUACUGAGGAGCUUGAGUCCGGGAGAGGUGAGUGGAACUGCGAGUGUAGAGGUGAAAUUCGUAGAUAUUCGCAAGAACACCAGUGGCGAAGGCGGCUCACUGGCCCGGUGCUGACGCUGAGGUGCGAAAGCGUGGGGAGCAAACAGG